GGAUGCCCUCCGUCGUCACCCCUUAUAACCUGUUACCCGCGUUCGGACUAGGUCGGUACGGCGCACUCACUACUUCCAGAAUCCCAACAUUUCGAGAAAACAGUCCCUGCUACUACUGCCAUGG
RNAcentral lists this ribosomal RNA (124 nucleotides) under uncultured bacterium. Its description in RNAcentral is "partial 16S ribosomal RNA". The record is from RNAcentral.